GGGGCUGUAGCUCAGUGGUAGAGCCCUCACCUUGCACGUGUGAGGCACUGGGUUCCAUUCUCAGCACCA
This 69-nucleotide transfer RNA is filed under the name Ictidomys tridecemlineatus (thirteen-lined ground squirrel). RNAcentral's name for it is "Spermophilus tridecemlineatus (thirteen-lined ground squirrel) tRNA". It matches the Rfam family "tRNA". Rfam says of the family: Transfer RNA (tRNA) molecules are approximately 80 nucleotides in length. Their secondary structure includes four short double-helical elements and three loops (D, anti-codon, and T loops). The record is from Rfam by way of RNAcentral. Lineage: Eukaryota; Metazoa; Chordata; Mammalia; Rodentia; Sciuridae.